CUCUAGUACAAGUGUAGCUGGUGCUCUGAUAACUAACUCUAAGGCCACCUUUUCCCAAGGCCACCACAACACCAGCAACUGCUUACUGGUCAGCAUUUGUAAACAUUUCCUGCUCAGAAUUGCUCCAGACGUCACAGAGCUUCAACAAUAAUGAAUGUUUGCACAACAUUUCCUGGGAAGAACCUUUUCCUCUCCAGCCUACUACAGGUAUUUUCAAAAUCAUCAUUGUUGACUGGUCUGCUUGGGCUAAACAAGAAAUCUUCACGCAGAGAACAACUGGUGCUCCCUGAAACACUCCUUAGUAGGCCAAGCAAAUAAAAUCAUACUAUUUAACAGCAGAAAAAAUUGUGGGUCACAGUAUGAUUGGCAGACAUGAGCAUUACAAACUUCCUGUAAAAUGCCUGAGCUCUCUCUUCCUGCCAUUCUUAUUAACCAGCUCAGCAUAACAGCCUCCUUGCAGCAAAGUCAGAAACUACCAACAAGCAAACAGCAAGAAAUUUGUUCUCAUUAGCCCCCAUAAUCUCUAAAGGUCCAAAGAAGGUAAUCCUUCCAGAGAAAAAGGGAAAACUGUACCUUACCUGUUUCCUUGUGCGUGUUUUCCCUGUUCUCAGCUUAAUAUAGCGGGCAAUCAACUCAU
Zonotrichia leucophrys gambelii is the source of this 637-nucleotide long non-coding RNA. RefSeq lists it as uncharacterized. Lineage: Eukaryota; Metazoa; Chordata; Aves; Passeriformes; Passerellidae. The record is from RefSeq and is a predicted model, not a curated record. The transcript is spliced from 3 exons.